GUUAUACAAAUAAUGCAAAUAAAUUUUAUUAGUUUAAGUAAAAUUUAAAUUNAAAAAAUAAAAAAUAAUUUUAUUAGGUGAAAUUUUAAAAUUAUUUAAUUUUUAUUUAAAAUAAUUGAGUCUUAAAAAUUUUAUAUAAAAACUAGGAUUAGAUACCCUAUUAUUUAAAAUAUAUUUAUUUAUACUAAAGUAGUAUUAGUUAUGUUCUUGAAAUUUAAAAAAUUUGGCGGUAUUUUAGUCUAUUUAGAGGAAUCUGUUCUAUAAUCGAUAAUCCACGAUGGACCUUACUUAUAUUUGUAUUCAGUUUAUAUACCGUCGUUAUAAGAAUAUUUUUUAAAAAUAAUAAUUUUCAAUAUUUUUUAUAAAAAUUUAUAUCAGAUCAANGGUGUAGCUUAUGUAUAAGUAGUUAUGGAUUACAAUAAAUUUAUUUAUGGAUUUAUAAAUGAAAAUUUAUAAUGAAAUUGGAUUUAAAUGUAAAAUUAUAUAGAUUAAUAAUUUGAU
Molecule: ribosomal RNA, 501 nt
Filed under: Nemorimyza posticata
Lineage: Eukaryota; Metazoa; Arthropoda; Insecta; Diptera; Agromyzidae
Description: partial 12S ribosomal RNA
Source: RNAcentral